AAUAGAAUCAGCUCCAUUGCCUGGGAAUCAUUCUUGUCAGGAGUGCUUUCGUUCUAACCUAGGUAAAGGCUUUUCUUUUUCACUCUCUCAGGAUCCAAACAAGCAGACUACACACAGAAAGAUGACUUCAUUUCUUCACCGAGUGUUUCGUGAGUGUCUGCUGCAUGCUGGACACUAGCAAAGGCAGAAGGAAUUCAACCACAACUGAAAUGAACACCGGGUAUCCAAGGGCAGGAGGAAAAUGCUGGAGAAAGGACCUCAAGUCAAGUGAUGGAUGGCUUCAAGGAAGGCACAACAGAGAGCUGUUGGGGUCCAGGAGAAGAAGUA
RNAcentral lists this long non-coding RNA (327 nucleotides) under Homo sapiens (human). Its description in RNAcentral is "HSALNT0227307". Lineage: Eukaryota; Metazoa; Chordata; Mammalia; Primates; Hominidae. The record is from RNAcentral.